GCCGGAUUAUGGUAAAUUUCAGCUCGCUGCAGGAUAAUUUUAUGGAGACAAAGAAAAAGAUAAAGGAAUCCUAUGAGAUAGGAAUAAUUCUCCACGUUUUGCUGAUAUGAAACUGAGACUCAGAGAGUUAACAGAGCCCUAACCAGUAAGCUGGGCAGCAGCAUGGAAUAAUAGAAAGACCACUAGCCUGGAGGCCAGGAGACUUUGCUUGUAUGGCAUGAUUUCAUUUGUGACUCUGUCAUCUUGAGUCUCCAAACCAGUGAACAUGCCAAGUUUUAUGCCUUCUCAACCAGGUUGAAGCAUUCAGCAAUGAGAAUGAGACCUUGGUGUUUCAGUUUUCAGUAAAACACAAGCAAAGGAAGUAUUGUGGUGGCGGAUAUGUAAAACUCUUUCCUGCCACCCUGAACCAGGAGGAUAUGCACUCAGGAUCCAAGUAUCACAUCAUGUUUGGCCCUGACAUUUGUGGCUUUGGCAACAACAAAGUACAGGUCAUCCCUCAUUACUGAGAGAAAUACCAUGAGAACAAGACCAUCAAGUGCAGGGUGAGUGUGUGCUGGUCCUCAGCCAAGGGGGAAGGAGAUGCAUUUUAUAUGUGUUAUCUCAUUUAAUUCUUACAAAAUCUUAUAAAUUAAAUACUGUCAUCUCCAUUUUACAGGUUAAAAAGUAGAUCUAGAGAAAUGCUGUAAAUUGCAGGAUUUCAUCAAGGAGCAGUUGAUCCAAAAGCCUAAGAAGUUAUAUGAGGUCCUCCUGUGGAACAAUGCUUGGCAUAGCCCAGUUCCCCACUGCUAGACAUGGGAGAGGAUGGGGGAGGGAGGGAGUGUUGGACUUAGAAAUGGGGAUGGGUAGUCAGUUUAUCAUAGUAACAUCAAGUUAGAGACACCUAGGUUGGCUAGAGGAUAGUAGGUGGAUUUCAUCAGCAACUCAACAGGGAUUCAAAUACUAACUCUGUUUUGGGCCUUAGGCUGGGGACAGAGUGGGCCAGACAUGGCCUUUGACUUCACAGAACUCACAGUCAAUGAAGGUAAGAGUCAAGCAAAGUGACUACCUAGUAUGCUGGGCAUCUGUGGGAGCACAGAAGAGGACCCCUACCCAACCUGGAGGCUAAGGAAAUACUUCUUAGAUCAAUAAAGACCCUCACCUGUACACUCUGAUUAUUCGCCCCAAUGCUACUUAUGAGGUUAAAAUUGACAACCAGCAGGUGGCAGCUGGGGCUCUGGAGGAGGACUGGGACUUCUUGCCUCCCAGGAAAAUAAAAGACCCUACGCCCAGAAACCAAAGAAAUGGGAUGAACGCCUGCACAUAGAGGAUCUGGAAGACAAGAAACCUGACAUCAGAGGGCAUUUGGCUGGGAAGCAGUACUGGGAAGACUUUGAAUACAUCCUGGAUCCAGAAGCCAAGAAGCCAGAUAACUGGAAGGAGGCUAUGGAUGGGGAGUGGGAAAGGCCUCUGAUGCCAAAUCCGAAGUAUAAGGACCUAAGAGAAGCAAUGGAGAGAACUUUAUGAAGAAAUUGAAAAAAGAAAGCAGGCAGAAGAGGCCAAGAAGUAAAAGGAAACGGAUGAAGAAAAGGAAGAUGGCAUUUGGGGAAUUGAAGAAGAGGGAAAUGAAUUGGAUCCCACUACAGAGCCAGGAAAUGACAGGGAGAUGCAGGAACAUGAUGCUGACAGAGUGUUUCUGGGUAAAAAUGAGGAAGUCCUUGUUGACCAGAAGGGUGAACUGUAACUGGGAUUGUGGAGGCAAAUGUUAGGAGGAGAAAUAUUCAUGAGGUUGGUACAAUUUGGGGAGCAAAAUAACUUACUUUUUUGAAAUAAACUUUGGAUUUGUAUUUCCAUCCCGCUCCCUUUGCUCUGUGUGACCUGGGGAAAGUCACACUGCCUCUUGGGGCUUCUGUUUCCUUAUUAGUAGAAAGGGAGUGAUCAUUUCUGUUUUAUGAGGUUGUAGGGAUUAAAUGAACUAAUGUAUGUAAAGUGCC
RNAcentral lists this long non-coding RNA (1970 nucleotides) under Homo sapiens (human). RNAcentral's name for it is "HSALNT0292154". The record is from RNAcentral. Lineage: Eukaryota; Metazoa; Chordata; Mammalia; Primates; Hominidae.